GAUGAACGCUGGCGGCGUGCCUAAUACAUGCAAGUCGAGCGAACGGACGAGAAGCUUGCUUCUCUGAUGUUAGCGGCGGACGGGUGAGUAACACGUGGAUAACCUACCUAUAAGACUGGGAUAACUUCGGGAAACCGGAGCUAAUACCGGAUAAUAUUUUGAACCGCAUGGUUCAAAAGUGAAAGACGGUCUUGCUGUCACUUAUAGAUGGAUCCGCGCUGCAUUAGCUAGUUGGUAAGGUAACGGCUUACCAAGGCAACGAUGCAUAGCCGACCUGAGAGGGUGAUCGGCCACACUGGAACUGGGACACGGACCAGACUCCUACGGGAGGCAGCAGUAGGGAAUCUUCCGCAAUGGGCGAAAGCCUGACGGAGCAACGCCGCGUGAGUGAUGAAGGUCUUCGGAUCGUAAAACUCUGUUAUUAGGGAAGAACAUAUGUGUAAGUAACUGUGCACAUCUUGACGGUACCUAAUCAGAAAGCCACGGCUAACUACGUG
RNAcentral lists this ribosomal RNA (497 nucleotides) under uncultured bacterium. Its description in RNAcentral is "partial 16S ribosomal RNA". It matches the Rfam family "Bacterial small subunit ribosomal RNA", at positions 28 to 507 of the family's 1533-position model. The record is from RNAcentral.